This 436-nucleotide long non-coding RNA is filed under the name Mustela putorius furo (domestic ferret). Its description in RNAcentral is "lncRNA (ENSMPUG00000029587.1)". Lineage: Eukaryota; Metazoa; Chordata; Mammalia; Carnivora; Mustelidae. The record is from RNAcentral.
UCUCUUCUCGAAGAGGAGACGUAUUUUCUGAUUGUACCAACCUGUGUGCCCUAGGUCUCCUCCUUGGAUUUGGCUGGGGCCAACUCUUUGGCUCAGGGGAGGAACACAUUGGUCCCGGAUGCAGCUUCUGGCUGAUUCGCUCUGGCGUUUUCUCAGGGAGGGGACAAACUGAAAGAGAGAGAGAAUCUUAAGCAGCCUCCAUGCCCAACACAGAGCCUGAUGUAGGGCUCCAUCUCACCACCCUAGAUCAUGAGCUGAGCCAAAAUCAAGAGACGGAUGCUUACCCGACUGAGCCAUCUAGGAGCUCCUCAGGGAUAUCUGCUGAGAAACACAACUGCACUUGUGACAUGGGACCAAGGGGGACAGAACUAGAGCCAAAGGUAAGUGCAGACCAGAAGUGGAUUUACAGAUAGCAGUUAUCUUUUGGGAAGAAAGA